Molecule: ribosomal RNA, 253 nt
Filed under: uncultured bacterium
Lineage: Bacteria
Description: partial 16S ribosomal RNA
Rfam family: Bacterial small subunit ribosomal RNA
Source: RNAcentral
UACGAAGGGGGCGAGCGUUGUUCGGAAUCACUGGGCGUAAAGGGCGCGUAGGCGGCCCUCUUUGUCGCGUGUGAAAGCCCCGGGCUCAACCUGGGAACGGCGCGCGAAACGGGGGGGCUGGAGUUCGGGAGAGGAGAGUGGAAUUCCCAGUGUAGAGGUGAAAUUCGUAGAUAUUGGGAAGAACACCGGUGGCGAAGGCGGCUCUCUGGACCGAGACUGACGCUGAGGCGCGAAAGCGUGGGGAGCGAACAGG